GACGAACGCUGGCGGCGUGCCUAAUACAUGCAAGUAGAACGCUGAAGAGAGGAGCUUGCUCUUCUUGGAUGAGUUGCGAACGGGUGAGUAACGCGUAGGUAACCUGCCUUGUAGCGGGGGAUAACUAUUGGAAACGAUAGCUAAUACCGCAUAACAAUGGAUGACACAUGUCAUUUAUUUGAAAGGGGCAAUUGCUCCACUACAAGAUGGACCUGCGUUGUAUUAGCUAGUAGGUGAGGUAAUGGCUCACCUAGGCGACGAUACAUAGCCGACCUGAGAGGGUGAUCGGCCACACUGGGAAUGAGACACGGCCCAGACUCCUACGGGAGGCAGCAGUAGGGAAUCUUCGGCAAUGGGGGCAACCCUGACCGAGCAACGCCGCGUGAGUGAAGAAGGUUUUCGGAUCGUAAAGAUCUGUUGUAAGUCAAGAACGGGUGUGAGAGUGGAAAGUUCACACUGUGACGGUAGCUUAACAGAAAGGGACGGCUAACUACGUG
This 497-nucleotide ribosomal RNA is filed under the name uncultured bacterium. RNAcentral describes it as "partial 16S ribosomal RNA". It matches the Rfam family "Bacterial small subunit ribosomal RNA", at positions 28 to 507 of the family's 1533-position model. The record is from RNAcentral.